Apis cerana (Asiatic honeybee) is the source of this 1135-nucleotide long non-coding RNA. RefSeq lists it as uncharacterized. NCBI's taxonomy places the organism in Eukaryota, Metazoa, Arthropoda, Insecta, Hymenoptera, Apidae. The record is from RefSeq and is a predicted model, not a curated record.
UUCUAAUUGGCCUGUGCUGUCGCCACUGCUGGAGCCACAUUCGCCAUCGACGAAUCUGAAAUUCAAUUGUCUCGUGUUAUUUUAAUUGCCUCCUUUUUGAAACCAGUCUUUCGUUCGUUAAAAAGAUUUCGAGGAAGGACUUUUAUAUUUACUUUUCAACUGUAAAUAAUGAAAAAAAGUAUUCAAAUUUGAUUGAUUAAUUGAUUAAUUAAAAAAAGGCAUAUUAUUGACAAAAUAAGUUGUUAAUCGACGAAGAUAAUAUCAGUGAAAUGAAUCGUUCGCAAUAUCCUAUGAUAUUUCAAUAACGAUAUAAUUAUUUAGAUUAAAAGAUGGAUAUAAUAAUAAAUAUAAUGUAAAAUAUAAAUUAUUCGAUGAGAAAAAUGGAACAAACCUGUCGAUAUUUUGUUAAUGAAGCCUUUGCGUUUAAUCGACCGAUUGAGAUAUAAAGUUCACGGUCUUUUGAGACUUUCAAAGUGAACAUCGUAUGCAUGCAAUGAUCAAAAACAAAUCAUUUAACGUAACUUUAUUUUCUUAUGAUAUGGAGAAUUAUUGAAGUCAACGUUAAACGAUAUUAUGGAGUCGGUGAUAAUUAUUUUUGAAAAAUGUAUCUGUUUUACAUUUAUUACAAUCGUCAAUAUUUUUUUUACGAAUAAAAUUAUACAUUUGUAUUUAUGUCGAAGAAGAAUUCGAUAUUUUAAAAACAGACGUAUGUUUUCUUUUCUUUUUUUUUUUUUCAAAAAACAAUUAAUCAUAUAAAAUAUCUGAACAAGUCAAACGAGUCGGAGCUUUUCAAAAAUAUGAAUUACAUAAUUUUCAAGUAAGCCGAAAUAAAAAGAAAAACAUAUUUUACGUUUUAUUCGUUUUAUAAAGAUAUUUAAUUUUUAUCUCAAGCAUUUAUUCGUAUAUCUCUAACGGUGAGAGAGAUAAUUGCGCGAUUUAUUUCUAGAAAAUUAUUUCCUCGAAUGAAUGCAAAUUUUUUGCAUUUUUUUAAAAAGAUUUAUUUAAAAUAUUUGCUUCAUCUUGUUAUUCACGAAUACAAUUGUAAUAUUCAAAUUGAAUUCAUAUAAUAUCUUUUCCCCCUAAUUCCCCUCCCCAAUAAUUGAAUAAAUGAUUCAACGAAUUCGACAAAUUUAUA